This 99-nucleotide ribosomal RNA is filed under the name uncultured bacterium. RNAcentral describes it as "partial 16S ribosomal RNA". It matches the Rfam family "Bacterial small subunit ribosomal RNA", at positions 1384 to 1482 of the family's 1533-position model. The record is from RNAcentral.
UACACACCGCCCGUCACACCAUGGGGGUUUGUCGCACCAGAAGCAGGUAGCUUAACCGCAAGGGGGGCGCUUGCCACGGUGUGGCCGAUGACUGGGGUG